UACGGAGGGAGCUAGCGUUGUUCGGAAUUAUUGGGCGUAAAGCGCGUGUAGGCGGCUUUGCAAGUCGGGUGUGAAAGCCCUCGGCUCAACCGAGGAAGUGCGCCCGAAACUGCAGAGCUUGAGUACCGGAGAGGAUGGCGGAAUUCCCCAAGUAGAGGUGAAAUUCGUAGAUAUGGGGAGGAACACCGGUGGCGAAGGCGGCCAUCUGGACGGAUACUGACGCUGAGACGCGAAAGCGUGGGUAGCAAACAGG
Molecule: ribosomal RNA, 253 nt
Filed under: uncultured bacterium
Lineage: Bacteria
Description: partial 16S ribosomal RNA
Rfam family: Bacterial small subunit ribosomal RNA
Source: RNAcentral